Molecule: non-coding RNA, 79 nt
Organism: Podarcis lilfordi (Lilford's wall lizard)
Lineage: Eukaryota; Metazoa; Chordata; Lepidosauria; Squamata; Lacertidae
Source: the annotation of a GenBank genome assembly
UGUGCUAAUCUUCUCAGAAUGCUGCAUUUAUCACCUACCAGACAAAUGCUAAAUGCUGCAUUACAAGGCAAUUAUCACC